Molecule: non-coding RNA, 97 nt
Organism: Triticum aestivum (bread wheat)
Lineage: Eukaryota; Viridiplantae; Streptophyta; Magnoliopsida; Poales; Poaceae
Source: Rfam
CUUAUACUCCCUCCGUCCUAAAAUAAGUGUCGCUGAUUUAGUGCAAAGUUGUUGCACUAAAUCAGCGACACUUAUUUUAGGACGGAGGGAGUAUUUG